RNAcentral lists this ribosomal RNA (620 nucleotides) under uncultured bacterium. Its description in RNAcentral is "bacterial SSU rRNA". It matches the Rfam family "Bacterial small subunit ribosomal RNA", at positions 773 to 1393 of the family's 1533-position model. The record is from RNAcentral.
CAGGAUUAGAUACCNUGGUAGUCCACGCCGUAAACGAUGAGUGCUAGGUGUUAGGCCCUUUCCGUGGCUUAGUGCCGGAGCUAACGCAAUAAGCACUCCGCCUGGGGAGUACGACCGCAAGGUUGAAACUCAAAGGAAUUGACGGGGGCCCGCACAAGCGGUGGAGCAUGUGGUUUAAUUCGAAGCAACGCGAAGAACCUUACCAGGUCUUGACAUCCCGAUGCUAUUCUUAGAGAUAGGAAGUUACUUCGGUACAUCGGAGACAGGUGGUGCAUGGUUGUCGUCAGCUCGUGUCGUGAGAUGUUGGGUUAAGUCCCGCAACGAGCGCAACCCUUAUUGUUAGUUGCCAUCAUUAAGUUGGGCACUCUAGCGAGACUGCCGGUAAUAAACCGGAGGAAGGUGGGGAUGACGUCAAAUCAUCAUGCCCCUUAUGACCUGGGCUACACACGUGCUACAAUGGUCGGUACAACGAGUUGCGAGCCGGUGACGGCAAGCUAAUCUCUGAAAGCCGAUCUCAGUUCGGAUUGGAGGCUGCAACUCGCCUCCAUGAAGUCGGAAUCGCUAGUAAUCGCGGAUCAGCACGCCGCGGUGAAUACGUUCCCGGGCCUUGUACACACCGC